UAGAAAAAUGAAUUUUUUUUUUUUUAAUGGAUCGAGGAUAAAAAGACAUUGAAGAGCACCAGCAAGACACCAUCCCACAUCUUAAGAAAAUCAUUUAGGAAACAAAUUAGCAGCUUAUCCAUCCCCAAAUUGAUGAUAGCAAAACUAAAAAAUUCAACGUGUUUAGCCAUCUAUCUUUUACACCAAGAGAUACAUCUAACUCGAAGGCUCUUACACUCUUUCUUUCUACAGAAGAGUAUAUAGUCCUUCAGCUUCUUCAGACCUUUAAAUUAAGAAUCGGAUUCAAUUUCCUACAGUGUCUUAACCAACAGCCAACCCAACUACAUUAACCAUUGUUGCUUAGAAGUAAAGUUCCCAACCUUUUAAUGAUAAAAUUGAAUUUAAUAACAGCCCUACAGGGUAUAAGUUAGUACAAACAGAAAGGGUGCUGCAAAAUGUGUGCAUGUGUAAUAUACAACUUUAUAUUCUUGGUUUUUCAGCAGGUGAACAGAAACCCAGCCCACAAGUUAUUGUCAAA
RNAcentral lists this unclassified non-coding RNA (517 nucleotides) under Hevea brasiliensis (rubber tree). The record is from RNAcentral. Lineage: Eukaryota; Viridiplantae; Streptophyta; Magnoliopsida; Malpighiales; Euphorbiaceae.